AAAAACAUUUCUUAUAUUAUUUCUAUAAGUAUAAUCUGCUCAAUGAAAAUAAAUAGCCGCAGAAAUUUAACUGUGCUAAGGUAGCAUAAUCAUUUACCUUUUAAUUAAAGGUCUGUAUGAAAGAUUAAACACUUAAAUAACUUUUUUAUUAAACCCCAUUUAAUUUAAAUUAAAAAUAAAAAUGUUUUUAUAAAAAAAAAAGACGAUAAGACCCUAUUGAACUUUACUUAAGUUAAGCUGGGGAAGCUAAUUAAAUAUAAUUUUAAUUUCAAUGAAACUCCUAAUAAAAUUAAAAAUCAAUAAGUUACCAUAGGGAUAACAGCGUAAUAAAUUUUUAAAGCUCUUAUUAAAAAAUAAGCUUUCGACCUCGAUCCG
RNAcentral lists this ribosomal RNA (375 nucleotides) under Centromerus trilobus. Its description in RNAcentral is "partial 16S ribosomal RNA". Lineage: Eukaryota; Metazoa; Arthropoda; Arachnida; Araneae; Linyphiidae. The record is from RNAcentral.